GACCUAGCGGCGGACGGGUGAGUAAUGCUUAGGAAUCUGCCUAUUAGUGGGGGACAACAUUCCGAAAGGAAUGCUAAUACCGCAUACGCCCUACGGGGGAAAGCAGGGGAUCUUCGGACCUUGCGCUAAUAGAUGAGCCUAAGUCAGAUUAGCUAGUUGGUGGGGUAAAGGCCUACCAAGGCGACGAUCUGUAGCGGGUCUGAGAGGAUGAUCCGCCACACUGGGACUGAGACACGGCCCAGACUCCUACGGGAGGCAGCAGUGGGGAAUAUUGGACAAUGGGCGAAAGCCUGAUCCAGCCAUGCCGCGUGUGUGAAGAAGGCCUUUUGGUUGUAAAGCACUUUAAGCGAGGAGGAGGCUACCGAGAUUAAUACUCUUGGAUAGUGGACGUUACUCGCAGAAUAAGCACCGGCUAACUCUGUGCCAGCAGCCGCGGUAAUACAGAGGGUGCGAGCGUUAAUCGGAUUUACUGGGCGUAAAGCGUGCGUAGGCGGCUUUUUAAGUCGGAUGUGAAAUCCCUGAGCUUAACUUAGGAAUUGCAUUCGAUACUGGGAAGCUAGAGUAUGGGAGAGGAUGGUAGAAUUCCAGGUGUAGCGGUGAAAUGCGUAGAGAUCUGGAGGAAUACCGAUGGCGAAGGCAGCCAUCUGGCCUAAUACUGACGCUGAGGUACGAAAGCAUGGGGAGCAAACAGGAUUAGAUACCCUGGUAGUCCAUGCCGUAAACGAUGUCUACUAGCCGUUGGGGCCUUUGAGGCUUUAGUGGCGCAGCUAACGCGAUAAGUAGACCGCCUGGGGAGUACG
RNAcentral lists this ribosomal RNA (800 nucleotides) under Acinetobacter oryzae. RNAcentral's name for it is "bacterial SSU rRNA". It matches the Rfam family "Bacterial small subunit ribosomal RNA", at positions 89 to 884 of the family's 1533-position model. The record is from RNAcentral. Lineage: Bacteria; Pseudomonadati; Pseudomonadota; Gammaproteobacteria; Moraxellales; Moraxellaceae.